This 301-nucleotide ribosomal RNA is filed under the name uncultured bacterium. Its description in RNAcentral is "partial 16S ribosomal RNA". It matches the Rfam family "Bacterial small subunit ribosomal RNA", at positions 509 to 809 of the family's 1533-position model. The record is from RNAcentral.
CAGCAGCCGCGGGAAUACGUAGGGUGCAAGCGUUAAUCGGAAUUACUGGGCGUAAAGCGUGCGCAGGCGGUUCGCUAAGACAGAUGUGAAAUCCCCGGGCUCAACCUGGGAACUGCAUCUGUGACUGCAUAGCUAGAGUACGGUAGAGGGGGAUGGAAUUCCGCGUGUAGCAGUGAAAUGCGUAGAUAUGCGGAGGAACACCGAUGGCGAAGGCAAUCCCCUGGACCUGUACUGACGCUCAUGCACGAAAGCGUGGGGAGCAAACAGGAUUAGAUACCCCAGUAGUCCCUGUCUCUUAUAA